RNAcentral lists this transfer RNA (67 nucleotides) under Marmota monax (woodchuck). RNAcentral's name for it is "tRNA.Ala". The record is from RNAcentral. Lineage: Eukaryota; Metazoa; Chordata; Mammalia; Rodentia; Sciuridae.
GGCUAUAGCUCAGUAGCAGAGCGCUCGCCUAGCAUGCAUGAGGCACUGGGUUCGAUUCUCAGCACCA